Molecule: ribosomal RNA, 264 nt
Filed under: Triticum aestivum (bread wheat)
Lineage: Eukaryota; Viridiplantae; Streptophyta; Magnoliopsida; Poales; Poaceae
Description: partial small subunit ribosomal RNA
Source: RNAcentral
AUGGGUGGUAAUCUGCUUCUACUUUCUGUAUGGAGCUGGGAGCGUCUACCUAUUGGACCCCCAAAGAGCGUCAGGUUUAAUCCUUGGUAUGAAGAUGAACAUGACGAAUUACGGCGCCCCACUUGGGCUUACAAGUGGGAUGUGGUUUCCGAGAUGACGAACGAUGUCAAUCUCAUGUACCAAAAGUACAUUGCCGAGUUGGACAUGAUUACGCCUGAGAAGGUAAGGAGGUCAUUACUUCAGUCCUUUCUCAUGCUUGCUUGA